This 819-nucleotide long non-coding RNA is filed under the name Rattus norvegicus (Norway rat). RNAcentral's name for it is "long non-coding RNA NONRATT018424". The record is from RNAcentral. Lineage: Eukaryota; Metazoa; Chordata; Mammalia; Rodentia; Muridae.
GCUGGCGGGCCAGCAAGCUUUGGGACCUGCCUGCUUCUGUUACCUAAUGCUGAGGGACAGGUGCAAGCAGCUGAGGUUGACAUCUGAACUCAGCUCUUCCUGUUCAAAAGGCAAGUGCUCUUACCUACUGAUCCAUCUCUCCAACCUCUAAUCAUCAAACUUUUAACAUUUAUAUUAUUCAAUAAUGAUUAUAUUAUUUAAUAUUAUAUUGCAAGCAUUCUACACUCAAUGAAAAUACCACAGUGUGGUAUGCUUCUGCCCAAGUUUUCAUGAACUGUAUACCAGCCUCAUAUCCAGCCUGUCCAGAGGAAACAAUACCAUCCCAACCCCCUCCCUUUCUUCUCUUUUUGGAUUUGCAAGUGUUUGUUAGUGGUUGGGUACUUCUGGAAAAUAUUCUGCUACACACGGUGAGGUUUUUGGUUUAUGUUUUUAUUUUCUUAAGGUCCAAUUCAUUCUCAGGGUUUAAAAUUAAAAUUAGUGUCAUAUUUUUAUUUUAUUCUUUGAAUUAAGAAACUCAUUUGGUUUUGGUUUAUCUUGACUGAUCCGAAAGUUAGACAACAUCUCAGAGCUGGAACACUGCACAUUGGCUGCCCAUCGAAAGAUGCUCAGGUGUGCAAUUAUUUUGGCCGUCAAUUAUAACUGACAGUAUUGUCUUGCCUCCAAAUCUGCGUUCGCUUCUCCGAAAGCAGACUGUGAAGAACUUACUUGUCUAAACAGAAGUGUGAUUUGUGAAAAGGCAUGUGUCUGUGAGUGAGAUUGCUAGUUUACUCCCAGUAUCUAUUCUCUUCAGAAAGUAAAAGAAAUCCCUGAAUACUAGAA